UACGUAGGGGGCAAGCGUUAUCCGGAUUUACUGGGUGUAAAGGGAGCGUAGACGGCUGUGCAAGUCUGAAGUGAAAGCCCAGGGCUCAACCCUGGGACUGCUUUGGAAACUGUGGAGCUAGAGUGCUGGAGAGGUAAGUGGAACUCCAUGUGUAGCGGUGGAAUGCGUAGAUAUAUGGAAGAACACCAGUGGCGAAGGCGGCUCUCUGGUCUGCAACUGACGCUGAGGCUCGAAAGCAUGGGUAGCGAACAGG
Molecule: ribosomal RNA, 253 nt
Filed under: uncultured Lachnospiraceae bacterium
Lineage: Bacteria; Bacillati; Bacillota; Clostridia; Lachnospirales; Lachnospiraceae
Description: partial 16S ribosomal RNA
Rfam family: Bacterial small subunit ribosomal RNA
Source: RNAcentral